RNAcentral lists this ribosomal RNA (397 nucleotides) under uncultured bacterium. RNAcentral describes it as "bacterial SSU rRNA". It matches the Rfam family "Bacterial small subunit ribosomal RNA", at positions 355 to 769 of the family's 1533-position model. The record is from RNAcentral.
UGGGGAAUCUUGCACAAUGGGGGAAACCCUGAUGCAGCGACGCCGCGUGAACGAUGAAGCCCUUCGGGGUGUAAAGUUCUUUCGACAGGAACGAUAAUGACGGUACCUGGAGAAGAAGCUGCGGCUAACUACGUGCCAGCAGCCGCGGUAAUACGUAGGCAGCGAGCGUGGUUCGGAGUUACUGGGCGUAAAGAGUGCGUAGGCGGCGAGCCAAGUUUGGUGGGAAAUCUCCCGGCUUAACCGGGAGGGUGCGCCGAAAACUGGUUGGCUGGAGUUUGGGAGAGGAAAGCGGAAUUCCUGGUGUAGCGGUGAAAUGCGUAGAUAUCAGGAGGAACACCUGCGGUGUAGACAGCUUUCUGGACCAACACUGACUCUGAGGCACGAAAGCGUGGGUAGC